UAGGGAAUCUUCCACAAUGGGCGCAAGCCUGAUAGAGCAACACCGCGUGAGUGAAGAAGGGUUUCGGCUCGUAAAGCUCUGUUGUUAAAGAAGAACAUGUAUGAGAGCAACUGUUCAUACGUUGACGGUAUUUAACCAGAAAGUCACGGCUAACUACGUGCCAGCAGCCGCGGUAAUACGUAGGUGGCAAGCGUUAUCCGGAUUUAUUGGGCGUAAAGAGAGUGCAGGCGGUUUUCUAAGUCUGAUGUGAAAGCCUUCGGCUUAACCGGAGAAGUGCAUCGGAAACUGGAUAACUUGAGUGCAGAAGAGGGUAGUGGAACUCCAUGUGUAGCGGUGGAAUGCGUAGAUAUAUGGAAGAACACCAGUGGCGAAGGCGGCUACCUGGUCUGCAACUGACGCUGAGACUCGAAAGCAUGGGUAGCGAACAGGAUUAGAUACCCUGGUAGUCCAUGCCGUAAACGAUGAGUGCUAGGUGUUGGAGGGUUUCCGCCCUUCAGUGCCGGAGCUAACGCAUUAAGCACUCCGCCUGGGGAGUACGACCGCAAGGUUG
RNAcentral lists this ribosomal RNA (550 nucleotides) under uncultured bacterium. Its description in RNAcentral is "bacterial SSU rRNA". It matches the Rfam family "Bacterial small subunit ribosomal RNA", at positions 355 to 896 of the family's 1533-position model. The record is from RNAcentral.